This is a long non-coding RNA of Gossypium raimondii (Peruvian cotton), 2371 nucleotides long. RefSeq lists it as uncharacterized. Lineage: Eukaryota; Viridiplantae; Streptophyta; Magnoliopsida; Malvales; Malvaceae. The record is from RefSeq and is a predicted model, not a curated record. The transcript is spliced from 3 exons.
AAAAAUUCAAAUCAAUGAAUCAUCUUGUUUUUUUGGAACUUAGGCCUCGUUCUUCUGCACGUUUGCGAAUGACUUUUUCACUAAAAAGUCCUUUUCUCUUAAAAGGAACCAAGAACAGCCUCCGUUUCUCUUAAUUUUUCUCUAGACGGAGAAGCUAAAAAUUUCUCAUUUUUCUUUUAUAAUUUUUUUUGCACGUUCUUUCUCCUCUGCUGGUUCCCCAAACGUUCUUUCCCCUCUGCUGGUUCUUUGGAGUUGUAUACCCAAUUUUUUUCCCCAUUUUCGGCUUUCAAAGCUCUUUCCUGUUCUUUGUUCCUCUUCCGCAGGUGAGAGUUUCUUUUCUUCUUCUUCUGUUUAAUUAGUUCCUCUUCUGUUUAAUAUUUUCUUUCGCUGGAAUUUGAUUGCCAUCUUAUGCUUCAUUGUUAUAAAAUACUGACCCUUUGCCUCCUUAUCCAGCCUCAAUCAAGGUUCGCUCCAAAUCCCAGUUUUCUUUUUCUAAAAAAUGAACCAGUUUUGAGAUGUUGAGAUGGGUACUUUUAUCAUGCUGUAAUUGGCUCUCUUUUUUCCCAGUUGUAUAGAUCGAAUAGGCCUUUGGGUAUUGGUUUGUUUUUAGUUUUUAACUUUGAAGUUCAAAAGUUCGCCUUUGUCAAUCUCAUUCUAAUAUGCGAUUGGGAUCUUUGAUUUUUUUUUUAUGUAGAAGUUGAUCAUAUUCAAUUUCUUUGUUUCAUAUAUAAAUGGCUCUUCAAUUUGUUUUUUCAUUUUCAAUUUGUUUUUUCAUUUUGCUUCAGCAUGAAAAUUCCCUUUUCAGGGCAUUAGGAAUAGUGGAUGAGGCUAUAUUUCUAUUAUAAACUAUCUUCCCCUGUGUUCAAGAUUGAUACAUAUCUCAUAGUUGGGUAGAUUUGUGGUGUGUGUUAUCUGAAUACUGAGACUUCUCGCAAGAUGGUUAUGCUGUGAUUGCUUCGGAUGGUCCUGGUGAGUAUCCUGUAAUAGUUGAAUCAAAAGCUGGAAAUGAUGGGCUUGGUGUCACAGUGACUCCUGGAACUGUUGCAUAUGUCACAACUGGAGGACCAAUACCCGAUGGUGCUGAUGCAGUUGUCCAAGUUGAGGACAUUGAACAGGUUAAAGCUCCUUCUGAAACAAAGCAUGUAAAGAUAUUGGUGCAAACUAGUAACGGUGUUGAUAUUCGUCAAGUGGUAUGGCAUCAUUAACUCCUCUCACUUCGCCUACUUCCGUCUUCUCUUCACUGUCUCAUCCUUCCUUUUCCUUUUUCUGCUACAAACCAUCCUUGUCUCUAUGAUAAUUUUUUUCUGCCUUGCUACUUCCUCAAAGCCUUUGUUAGUUGUUAUAACAACUGAGUCAAUGAUUCAGAAGAUUGAAGUAAUAUGUUCACGGUCAAUAAUUAGUUAUUUACGCCCUUCUGGAAGUAUUAAUAGGUACAUUGGAAAUUUGGUUCUAUUGCCAAACAGCUAAAGGUCUCAAUUGGAAAAGUGUACGUUACUUGAGCACUCUGAAUGUGUGCAUGCAGAUCUAUGGCUUGUUGGAGAAUAGGAAUGAAGUUAAACUUCCAUGGCUUCUCACCUUCUGUAUAAGUUGACCUGACUUUGUUUAUCUAUGGUGAAAAAGAAAAAUAGAGAAGAAGCAGAACACAAUGAACUUACUGUGUUGUGCAAUUGUGUGUAGCUUCUAAUAUUUUUCUUUUGGAAUGAAUGUACUUUAUAUGAAACAAUUUCACAUUUCCUGCUGGAAGUUUUGUCUCAGCCAUUGUUAUUUCUGAUUUAAGUGGUACCCCAUUGAGCAAGGCUGCAUCGUCAUAUGAUUCAAGUUCAAGUAGUACGCCACAUAAAAGUUUGUGAAAUGAAAUAAUGGGAGAUGGAUCUCAGGAUGUGCAGUUCAAAGUAGCUGUUCUUACAGUGAGUGAUACUAUUGCAUCAGGUGCUGGGCCUGAUCAAAGAUUCCAAGAAUGAGAAAGAGGAGUAGCAUUCAAGUGGUGUUGGCCCUCGAAUUGGUUGUGUUAAUGACUACCUAAAAGAGCUGCAAUUUCAGGCACUGGAACAAGUCAACCUAUCUCCAAGGAUUGAACAUGGUCGCUUCAGAAACUGCGGUCCGAUACCUUCACUGAGACUUAGCCCCAAUUCGUGUCUCACCAAGGCUUGCAUACAUGGGACUCCCUAGCCCAAGGGUGUCUGUUAUGGCUGCCAAUUGAAAACUUACUGAGCAUUCACCAAUAGGCUUCAACAUCUAUUCCUAUUAGGUUCAACAUACACAAUUGUAAAUGCUAUUGUAAAAUUUUUAGUAUUUAUAUUUGGUAUAUAAAUAUUAUCCCUUUUUAAAACUUUAAUUCAAAUAUAUGUAAUAUUUGAAUUUGUUAGGUUUA